Molecule: long non-coding RNA, 678 nt
Organism: Strigops habroptila (Kakapo)
Lineage: Eukaryota; Metazoa; Chordata; Aves; Psittaciformes; Psittacidae
Exons: 2
Source: RefSeq, a predicted model, not a curated record
AUUCUUUGUGAUGGUCAGCAAGUCAUCUCUCACUGCAUGAAUUCUUUUUCUAAAAAAGAUCUAAAAAAGCUUUUUCUAAAAAAGCUAUUCUUCUACCUCAUCUUAUCCAUAGAGACACUAUUCCUAUAAAAAUUUCUGACUGUAUGUUGGACACAGACCAGUGUUAAAGGAGGCAUCUUCCCAGGCUGGCAUGAGAACCAGAGCUGUGGCAUCAGAUGGUAAUGGCUCACCUACUGUUGCUGAGAUGCAGGGCCUUCAGCUGCUCCUCAAAACAAAGCUAAUCCUUUCCCAAGAACUCAGUAUAUAGAAGUUAUAGAAGCAAGUUGGAGUUUUGUCUGCAAAUAUAGAAGGUGGUGUUUUGUUGAAAUAAACAAGAACUUUGCCACUGGCUUCUCUGGGGCUGUGUCUUGACUGCAGUGUCUCAUUGACAACAGCAAGUAUUGGGACAAUUUGCACAAAAUGCUCAGCACCCUGCAUGAUCUUUCCUACAGAAAAUGACUGCUUUUUACCUCAGGAGGUGUAGUUCCUUAUCCUGACAUGAGUGGCACCUUUCUGAGAAGUGCUUGCCACUACUGUCCUGAUUUUAAGGUACAAACAUGCAACACCUGGACCAGACCUAACUACUGGGAGCUGGCUCAGACUGUAUGGCAGGUUUGAAAAUAAAGCCUCUUAUCUAAA